AUUGAACGCUGGCGGCAGGCUUAACACAUUCAAGUCGAGCGGAGAUGAGGUGCUUGCACCUUAUCUUAGCGGCGGACGGAUGAGUAAUGCUUAGGAAUCUGCCUAUUAGUGGGGGACAACAUUCCGAAAGGAAUGCUAAUACCGCAUACGUCCUACUGGAGAACGCAGGGGAUUUUCGGACCUUGAGCUAAUAGAUGAGCCUAAGUCGGAUUAGCUAGUAGGUGGGGUAAAGGCCUACCAAGGCGACGACCUGUAGCGGGUCUGAGAGGAUGAUCCGGCACAGUGGGACUGAUACACGGCCCAGACUCCUACGGGAGGCAGCAGUGGGGAAUAUUGGACAAUGGGGGGAACCCUGAUCCAGCCAUGCCGCGUGUGUGAAGAAGGCCUUAUGGUUGUAAAGCACUUUAAGCGAGGAGGAGGCUACUGAGACUAAUACUCUUGGAUAGUGGACGUUACUCGCAGAAUAAGCACCGGCUAACUCUGUGCCAGCCGCCGCCGUAA
RNAcentral lists this ribosomal RNA (501 nucleotides) under uncultured bacterium. RNAcentral's name for it is "partial 16S ribosomal RNA". It matches the Rfam family "Bacterial small subunit ribosomal RNA", at positions 30 to 523 of the family's 1533-position model. The record is from RNAcentral.